CCCCAGAGUCCACAGCAGAUGAGACAAUCAACUUUCAUUGAAUGGACUACUGAGGGGCUUGGUAAUGGAACUGAAGAAAUCUGAAUGAAUUGUCUGAUGCAUCGUGACUAAGCUUGGAAUGUGCCAACUGUCCCCCAGGAGUGGCCCUUGGACAGCAGAGCUGGAGCGCCGGGACUCUGAGUGCAGGAAGGAGGCCGUGCUCCAGGAGAGCCAUUGACAGAGCUGCUCUGGAGUUCUGGAAGUGCUUGGAGGGUGUGGGCGUUGUCACAUGAAUCUGUGGCACCAGCCUGUUGGCUUUCUGGUGAAGGGGUGGUGGCACAGUCUGCUGUCGUGCCUCUGGUGGUCCACACAACCUUCACACAACCUUCUUCAUUUCUGGUCAGCUUUGGAUACUCCCAAGCUUUGUCACUGAUCUCAUUUUGACUUACCAGGAAGCUCCACAUCUUGUUCUUUGUUAAUUUCAUGGAGGCUUGCAGGAUAACUCUCACUUUAUUUCCAUGAACGCUCCAUUUCAAGAAUGUUCAGGAAGACUUUCAUCACCUCUUUUGGGCCUCCACUUCCCUCCCACCUCCUUCCUACAUCUGUUCCUCUCUAGAGUGAAUGGUUUCAAUUUUAUCAACGUUUCUUCCUGUGGCUGUAUGUUUAGGUCCUUUCCCCAUGCUGAUCACCAAAUAUAAGAUUUAUUUAUAUCCUACCUAACAUGUACUCUUUAAAAAUCAGGUGCCCAUAAUAAUGAU
RNAcentral lists this long non-coding RNA (737 nucleotides) under Homo sapiens (human). RNAcentral's name for it is "HSALNT0359996". The record is from RNAcentral. Lineage: Eukaryota; Metazoa; Chordata; Mammalia; Primates; Hominidae.